AUUCCAUAAAAAUCUUUGUUUCUGUUGUAACAUUUUUUAUUUUUAGUGCUAUAGAUGUUUUUGUUUUUGUUUUCUUAUUACGUCAUAUGAUGGUGGUAUUCAACUACAUACAAUCUGCAACAAUUCCACGGUACAGUUCUCCCUGCAACACUCAGAUUUUCUAUGAAUGGUUGUACAUGUAUGAUAUCCCUGCGAUGGACAAACUCUCUCCGCAAUAAUCAGACCACUAUGAACGGCUUUAUCCACCAGGCAAUGAGGCCAUAAAUAUUUUUAACAGUUGCUUAGAAUUGAAAAUUUUCUUUUUUGGGUCUUGUUCAAUCUCAUUGGGCAAGACAAAACAAAUUGUUGUGUUAAAAACAUUGGGAAAAUUCCCAAAAAAAAACCGAACUAUUUAAAAUCUGCCAGAAAACUACCUGAACUUUUUUCGUUGUCAGAAAAAUACACAAACUAAUUUUGAGUGAAAAUAAAAUACACGAUCUAUUUUUUUUUUCCAAUUACCUCUCUUCACCGUAACGGACCGUUAACGACGUUAACCAAAUCGUCAAACACUGUUAGUUUUAUUUACA
Molecule: small RNA, 566 nt
Filed under: Arabidopsis thaliana (thale cress)
Lineage: Eukaryota; Viridiplantae; Streptophyta; Magnoliopsida; Brassicales; Brassicaceae
Description: ATSL288050
Source: RNAcentral